CUGAACUUAAUUUGUAAUAUAAUAUUUUAUGCGAUGUUUUCAUAUUUGAUAAGAAUCCACGAUCAACACAGAAAUCUAAUGAUAUGCAUAUAAAUUAUCUCCAAUUUUGAAAUAAAUUAUAAAAUUUCUAUUUAAGAACUCCAUAAAAUCUGGUUAAAACCUCGUAAGUUCUUCAUUGACCCGUGAUCUGGCUAUGGUUGACCCGAUAAAAACCUAGAUAAAUCUAUUGAUCUUUAAAAAAUUAACUUAAAUUUAGUUUAAUAAUAAAUUAGUCAAAUAAUUUUUAUUUCAUGAAACUGAGAUAAAAAUCUAAUUAUAUUGGAAUAUUUAAAGACAAUAAGACUAUAAAGCACAAGAUAUUCAGGUCUAGUGGUUGUGGUAAGGAAUGUUAGCUAAUUUGUCUCGUGUUCGGAUUUUGGGAAGUUUUUUUUGUUUUUUUUUUAAUUUAUUUUCAUUUUAUUAAUAGCACAAUCGUAAUUAAACUGUCUUCCUCCUAAAGCCAGCUUUUAAGUUUCAUGUAACUUUCUCCAUGGUUGCUAUCUGAGUUUCUUUACAGCUUAGCAUUUUUCUUAUAAACGGCUUCUAAACUACUCAAAUAUACAGAGCCGGUAGCCAGUAUUCGAUUGCAAUCAUUCAAAAAUCAAAAUAGUAAAUUUUUUUUUAUCAAACGAUUUUUUAGCCGAGAUUAAAUUGAUUCAUAUUGUUUUGGUAACUGCUUAUGUAACUAAUCUGUAGGAAGAAAGAUAAUCAAUUACUAUAUUAUAAUACUUGGUUUAUUUUUUAGUAGGUCAUAACAAUCGUAAAAAAGAGAAAGAGGAAACUGUUUUU
Molecule: long non-coding RNA, 828 nt
Filed under: Brassica rapa (field mustard)
Lineage: Eukaryota; Viridiplantae; Streptophyta; Magnoliopsida; Brassicales; Brassicaceae
Description: long non-coding RNA (BRAP_LNC003997)
Source: RNAcentral